This 253-nucleotide ribosomal RNA is filed under the name uncultured bacterium. Its description in RNAcentral is "partial 16S ribosomal RNA". It matches the Rfam family "Bacterial small subunit ribosomal RNA", at positions 524 to 776 of the family's 1533-position model. The record is from RNAcentral.
GACGAGCCACACAAGCGUUAUUCGGAAUUACUGGGCUUAAAGGGUGCGUAGGCGGCGCGGAAAGUUGGGUGUGAAAUCCCUCGGCUCAACCGAGGAAUGGCGCUCAAAACUACCGUGCUCGAGGGAGAUAGAGGAGUGCGGAACUUACGGUGGAGCGGUGAAAUGCGUUGAUAUCGUAGGGAACACCGGUGGCGAAAGCGGCACUCUGGAUCUCUUCUGACGCUGAUGCAAGAAAGCUAGGGUGGCGAACGGG